RNAcentral lists this unclassified non-coding RNA (368 nucleotides) under Bombus terrestris (buff-tailed bumblebee). RNAcentral's name for it is "misc RNA ENSBTSG00005029660.1". Lineage: Eukaryota; Metazoa; Arthropoda; Insecta; Hymenoptera; Apidae. The record is from RNAcentral.
AAAUGUGAGAAAAUAAUGGAGAUAUCAGCUUCGCAAAUGGAAAAAUUCAAUAAAAAAGAGGCCGCCUGCCCUGGGAUCCAGACUGUGUCGAAAGCUCAGGCGCUAACCACUGCGCUGUCGUCGUCCGACACUAGUAAGUGUCGAGUGGUGAUAUUUGGCUUGUCGAGUGCCGCCACAGAACGAUAGUAAACGCCCCAUGGUACGUUACAAAUGAUACAGAGGGAUCUGGGAAUACCAACGGUCAAGGAAGCAAUUAGCAGUUAUGCGGAAAGAUACAAGGAAAGAAUAGCAACACACCCAAACCGGCUAGCUGCGGAAACGAUCAGCACCUCAAAUAUGGAAAGAAGACCGAAAAGGAAACACCCAGC